GCUGGGUGUGGUGGAGCAUGCCUGUAAUCCCAGCAGCUUGGGAGGCUGAGGCAGGAAAAGCAUGAGUUCAAUGUCAACCUCAGCAAUUUAGCAAGGCCCUAAGCCUGCUGUCCUUGGGAUCUUUCAUAUCUGUUUUAA
RNAcentral lists this small RNA (138 nucleotides) under Marmota monax (woodchuck). The record is from RNAcentral. Lineage: Eukaryota; Metazoa; Chordata; Mammalia; Rodentia; Sciuridae.